Molecule: ribosomal RNA, 402 nt
Filed under: bacterium
Lineage: Bacteria
Description: partial 16S ribosomal RNA
Rfam family: Bacterial small subunit ribosomal RNA
Source: RNAcentral
UGGGGAAUUUCGCACAAUGGGGGAAACCCUGAUGCAGCGACGCCGCGUGAUUUAGAAGGCCUUCGGGUUGUAAAAAUCUUUUCUAUGGGAAGAAAAUGACAGUACCAUAGGAAUAAGGACCGGCUAAUUACGUGCCAGCAGCCGCGGUAAUACGUAAGGUCCGAGCGUUGUCCGGAAUCAUUGGGCGUAAAGGGUACGUAGGCGGGUAAGCAAGUUAGAAGUGAAAUCCUAUAGCUCAACUAUAGUAAGCUUUUAAAACUGCUCAUCUUGAGGUAUGGAAGGGAAAGUGGAAUUCCUAGUGUAGCGGUGAAAUGCGCAGAUAUUAGGAGGAAUACCGGUGGCGAAGGCGACUUUCUGGCCAUAACCUGACGCUGAGGUACGAAAGCGUGGGUAGCAAACAGG